RNAcentral lists this ribosomal RNA (497 nucleotides) under uncultured bacterium. RNAcentral's name for it is "partial 16S ribosomal RNA". It matches the Rfam family "Bacterial small subunit ribosomal RNA", at positions 28 to 507 of the family's 1533-position model. The record is from RNAcentral.
GAUGAACGCUGGCGGCGUGCCUAAUACAUGCAAGUCGAGCGAACGGACGAGAAGCUUGCUUCUCUGAUGUUAGCGGCGGACGGGUGAGUAACACGUGGAUAACCUACCUAUAAGACUGGGAUAACUUCGGGAAACCGUGGCUAAUACCGGAUAAUAUUUUGAACCGCAUGGUUCAAAAGUGAAAGACGGUCUUGCUGUCACUUAUAGAUGGAUCCGCGCUGCAUUAGCUAGUUGGUAAGGUAACGGCUUACCAAGGCAACGAUGCAUAGCCGACCUGAGAGGGUGAUCGGCCACACUGGAACUGAGACACGGUCCAGACUCCUACGGGAGGCAGCAGUAGGGAAUCUUCCGCAAUGGGCGAAAGCCUGACGGAGCAACGCCGCGUGAGUGAUGAAGGUCUUCGGAUCGUAAAACUCUGUUAUUAGGGAAGAACAUAUGUGUAAGUAACUGUGCACAUCUUGACAGUACCUAAUCAGAAAGCCACGGCUAACUACGUG